UUUGAAAUGCCCUUCAAUUUAUUUUUCUCUUCAGUCUUUAUGAGCUUCAGCUUCAGCUAAUACAGAGCGAGUUUUUAUGGGUGAUAAACACUGAGGGUUUUGGAGAGAAACCAAGAAAUCCAACCAUUUUCGACAGAAUUGCUUCAAUCUACCACCAGGAAGACUAUUAAUCAUCCUCCCUCUACCAUCAGUUUGUCUUCAUUGGGUUGUUCCUUACUAGAAAAGGGAAGAUUCGAAAGGACAAAGCUUCCCACCUCCAUUACCAGUGAUUCGUGCAAAACCCAGGCUUUCCGUCAGCGUUGGUUGCUGAAUAAGCCUUUACUUUAGUUGAUUUCGCUGGGAAUUUGAAGGACAGUUCUGCUUGAUGAUCUGCAUGAAGAAGAUAAAAAUAUUAAAAUCUAUUGAAAUCUGAUACUCUUGCCUGCCAUUUCAAAACCUGUUUACACUUGCUGAAGAUUUGUUGAAUCACGUCUCCAGAUAUUAUUUUCCAUGGGCAAACAUGAAGAUAAGGAUGUUUCUAGUUGUACUGUUUUGGAAUCGUCUAAAGAGACUAUAAGUGAUCGCAAAGCCAGUGGAGAUAGUGAGGAAACCCAAGUUUUUGAGCCAGAUGCUUGUGACGUUCAGGUUCAAGGUCAGUGUGUGACUAAGGGAUCCUCAACUGAAGGGGUGGUGACAGAGGAUGGUGGGUCUUGUAUUGGGGUGAAUAUAAUGGUUGGGGUUAGGGGUUCUGAUAUUAACGUUGAUGGUGUUUUCAUACGUGAUUUUGGUGGUGGUGGUGGGCAAAAUUUGAGUGAGGAAGCAACUAAAAGUCGUGGUGGGUCAAGAGAGUUGGGCUCAGAGGGAGAUGUCAAAACUUUAGGUGGUGGUGGUGGUGGUGAUUUUGGUUCCAAGGCCAUUAUGGAUCCAUGUGUUGAGGCAUCAAAUUUGGGAACUGAGAGUGAGGUAGGAAAGUCUUCUGGGGUUGCUGAAUCUAAAGAAGGAGAAUUGGUGGAGGAUGUGGCAAGAGUUAGGGAGGUAAACUUGGGAUUGGUGACUGAGGUUGGAAAUUCUUCUGGGGUUGCUGAAUCCAAGGAAGAAGGAGAAUUGGUGGAGAAUAUACCAAGAGUUAGGGACGUAAACUUGGGAGUGGAGACCGAUGUUGGAAAAUCUUCUGGGAUUGCAGAAUCAAAAGAAGAAGGAGAAUUUUUGGAGGGUGGUACAAGAGUUAUGGAGGUAAAUUUGGGAACUGACAGUGAGAUUGGAAAGUGUUCUGGCGCUGCAGAAUCUAAAGAAGAAGGUGUAUUGGUGGAGGGAGUUAGAGAGGUCAUUGAUGUUGAUGGGUCUUAUGUUGCUGAUGAUAAUACUUUGCAGGAAGCUGGGGCUGGGAAUGCUCAGAAUGUGGGAAUCAAGAGUGCAGUUGAAGUUUCUUCUCUUGUUGAAGGAUCCACUGGUGGGGAAACCCAAGUUGUAGUUGAGAAAGUGGCAGUAGUUACAGGGAAGGAACGUUUGGAGGGAGGAUUGGACAAGGAGUGUAUUGAGAAAGUUGGGAUGGAUGUCGUUAAGGAUGUGAAUUCUCAGGAAGUUGGGGUUUCAGAUAAUGAAGUAGGUAAUCAAGGAGUUGAAAAUGUUGGAGGUUCCCCAGCAGUUUUUGGUUCUUCUGUAGUUGAUACCCAAGCUAUUGCAGUCGAGAAAUCUGAAGUGGUUGAGGAGGCUAUGGAUCAGGCUAACGAAACAAAUGAGAACGAGGGGGCUUCGCUUCAGGAUUCAGAAACACAAAAGGUCUGUGUUUUGCAUGAUGAGGUGUCGAAUCCUGGAACUAAAACUGCAGGAGCACCUUCUUCAAUCAUCAAGGAAGGUUCAAAUGUAGAGAACCAAGGUAUUGAGGAGGAAGCUGUGGUGAUGGUUGAUGAUGGAAAUUUAAAUCCCAAAAUUGAAACAGUUUUUGAUGGGGCACAUGGUAGUGAUUCUGUGGAGGGGGUUGUAUCCAGUUCUGAGAAAGAUUCAGUUGCAAUAGAAAAAGAUGCCAUUACCAAUGCAACCUCCAAAUGCUUUGAUGGACAAAUUGAUGAGGAAGUUGCAUCAAUGGACAAUGAGGAGAUUACAUAUCCUAACAUUGAAGGUAUGGACACUGACGCUUUUAAUGAAAAUUUUUGUUUUUCAGUGGAAGAACUGCAGGCUACAGUUGAGACUGCCAAUGGAAGCACUGAAAAUCACUAUGAUGCAUUUGCAGAUUUGCAAUCUUCACAACAGCCAACUCAAGUAGUUGUUGGAGGUGAAGUUGGAGCAUCUGAGAACAUGGUGCUUCUGAAUUCUGAAGAUGAAAAAAAAUUAGUAAUUGAAGAGUGGUCAGACCAGAGUAUGCCUCAUGAUUCUGCUCAUGUUGGUUCAACCGUAGAUGCAGAGAUGGGAGAUGAUGAAAAAGUUGCUGGUGCUGAACAAGCUAGUAUGCUGAAAGAACAAGGCAAGGUUGAGACCGCAAAUAAGAACGUUGAAACUCACUGCACCAAAGAUUUAGACUUCAUAACAUGUCGUCAGUCAGCACCUGCAGUUGGUGAUGAAAUUGCAGAAAUGGCUGACAAGGUUCGUUCAGACGCAAAUUUUGGGGGUCCUGUUGAUAUGCAUUUGGAUGGGAUGUUAUCAUCAUCGGGAAACGAACAGCAUAUAAAGACUGAGACAGACUCUAUGGAAAUAGAUACUCACACUACUUCAACUGACAAGGAUAAGGUUAAUUCAACUGUCAAUGUUUCGGAUCCUACUGAAAAAGACCAUGAGUUGAAGGUGAAAGAAUGCAUAGACAAGAAUGCAGCUUGUGAUCCUGAUCAGGAUGAUCCAAACAUGGGGCAACUGAUGGAUGUUCAAGAACAGGUUGCUUGUGUUGAACAGCUUGGAAGAGAAGAGAUGAAGGUAGUAGAACAGAACUCAGAGGCUGAAACAGUUUGUGCAAGCAGAGAACAAGAUACCUUAUUAAUUGAUGGAGAGCAAACUGCUAUAGCAGACUAUGAUUUGACUUUGAAUCCCAGUACCGGACUUGAGGGGCCACCUGAAGGGGAUCGGAAUCUGACGGUUGAAGAAGACUUGGAUGAGAGUGCAGAUAGUGAUGUUUCUGAGAUUGAAUCAAGUGCAGCAACAGAAACAGUGGUUGAAGAGCAUGAUGCUUUUCUCGAAGGUGAGUUCACUGUAUCUGAUUUGGUCUGGGGCAAAGUGAGGAGCCAUCCAUGGUGGCCUGGGCAGAUAUUUGACCCUUCAGCUGCCUCUGAGAAAGCAGUGAAGUAUCAUAAAAAGGACUGUUUUUUGGUAGCAUAUUUUGGGGAUCGGACAUUUGCGUGGAACGAGGCAUCUCUGCUAAGGCCUUUCAGGUCUCAUUUCUCCCAGGUUGAGAAGCAGAGCAAUUCUGAAGCAUUCCAGAAUGCUGUUGAUUGUGCUUUAGAAGAAUUUUCAAGACGUGUAGAGUUUGGGCUGGCAUGCUCAUGCAUACCAAAGGAUACUUACAAUAAACUUAAAUUUCAGAUAGUAGAAAACACUGGAAUCCGACAAGAAGCAAGUGUAAGAGAUGGUGUGGACAAAUCCGUGGUUGCUGAUUUAUUUGAACCUGGUAAAUUAGUGGGGUAUAUGAAAGCAUUAGCACAAUUUCCAGCUGGUGGAGCUGAUCGACUUGAACUUGUCAUUGCCAGUUCCCAAUUGCUGGCCUUCUAUCGCUUAAAGGGUUAUUCUCAGUUGCCUGAAUUCCAGUUUUGUGGAGGGUUGCUGGAGAAUGUAGGCACUUUAGAAUUUACAGAUGAAGUGAUUGAGCAUACACAUCCUUUUUAUAAGGAUGAUGGACAAAUUUUAUCCGGUCAGGAGUUGUUGCAUGCUCAAAGAAGUUCUUACCACAAGCGCAAACAUAAUUUGAAGGAUACUGUAUAUCCUAGGAAGAAAGAAAAAAGCUUGUCUGAAUUAAUGGGUGAUUCAUGGGAUUGUCUAGAUGAUGAAAUUGGUCCUGAUGGGAAAGCUAACAAUAAAUUAGUUUCACCAUCUUCUGGGAAGAAGUGGAAGGUGUUUGAUUCCUUUCCUGAUGACUUGGCCAUGGCAGAAGGGAGGAAAACUAUCUCUCUUGCAAAAGUCUCUACUACUGCACCUUCAUUUCCUAAGCCUUCGUUCAAGAUUGGUGAAUGUAUCCGUAGAGUUGCUAGCCAGAUGACUGGGUCUACCUCCAUAUUGAAGUCUAAUAACAUGAAGCAAGAUGGAAGCAGUGAUGGACUUGUUGGUGAUGGAUCUGAUGUUUUGUUCCAACAUUCUGAGGAUGCUGAGACAAGGAGAACAAUUGUUCCCACAGAAUACUCAUCAUUGGAUGAAUUACUAUCACAACUUCACUUGGCAGCACAAGAUCCCUUUAAAGGAUAUAGUUUCUUGACCAUCAUUAUUAAUUUUUUCUCUGAUUUUAGGAACUCAGUGAUCAUGGAGCAGCGUGAGAAAGUAGGUGGUAAAAGGAGACAAGCAUUUCAUUCCAUUGGUGGUUCUCCUGAGACAUUUGAAUUUGAGGAUAUGAAUGACACUUAUUGGACCGACCGGGUUAUUCAAAAUGGUUCUGAAGAGCAACCAUCACGGAAAAGUAGAAAACGGGAUAAUCAACUUGUGUCUAUGGACCAGGAUAAGGCCCUUAAUAAGUCGAACUCUAGAAAACGGUAUUCUGAUGGCAAUUAUGGUCUAUUAGCAGAGAACCCAGCGGGUUAUGUAGAUGAGAAUGCACCUGCAGAACUUGUUAUGCAUUUUCCUGUGGUGGAUUGUGUUCCUUCAGAAAUAAGCCUGAAUAAGAUGUUUAGGCGGUUUGGGCCUUUGAAGGAGUCAGAGACAGAAGUAGACAAGGAUACCAAUCGUGCCAGAGUUGUUUUCAAGAAGUGUUCUGAUGCAGAAGCUGCAUAUGGUAGUGCUCCAAAGUUCAAUAUUUUUGGUUCAAUACUUGUAAAUUACCAGCUCAACUAUACUAUAUCUGUACCAUUUAAAAGUCAACCAAUGAUCACACUCCAAGGUGAGGAAGAUGCAACACUUUUUUUGCAGUAUUGAAGAAGCGGAUCUGACAUAAAAAUUUUGGAGAGAGCAGAUGUUGAAAAACUGAGGCAGAUGCAGUGCAGCUCCUAUUCUACUGCUGAUGCUCUUACACAUGCAUAUGUUAAUGGGAUGCUGAAAAAGGUAAUGCUAUUUUGAGGUUGAAAGCUGCUGCUGCUACUCGUAUAUGCUAUUUUGAGGUUGAAAGCUGCUGCUGCUACUCGUAUGCCAUGUAGAUCGUCGUUGUUCUUGAUGUAUGUAUCUUUGGGCAAUAGGAAACCUCCUCAUUAUGAUUGACAUAGGAUAAAUCUGCAGGCCUCAUGCAAAGAAGCAUCGUAGGGCUCGUAUUCCAUAACAUAGCUGUGGGGAAGCUUCAAGUGCCCGAAGCUUUGGUGGUCAAAAUACAUGAAUGGCAUCACUCAUCAUCUUCAUUUCAUGGUGUGUCCUCUGAUAAUCAAUAAAAGCCUGUUUUGAUCUACUAAUACGUAUAUGAUUGUUGUUUGAGUAUACUAUUAAGAACAACUGAAUUCUACAAAAAGACUCUUAUUCUAUGAAGGCCGGGUAUGAUGUUGCGAGGGAGUUGUUGUCUCCAAGUAAAGGAUAUGGUGCUCUAGGAGGCUGGCUUAAUUUUUGGUGGAGCGCCUGUAGAGAUGUUGAGAUUGAUUGAUGGAGAGAGGUGUAAGCAUUGAUGGGCACUGUGGAGUUUAUAUUGGUGUAUUGAAAGACAGUAUUCAUUGGUGUUGGAGUGCUCUUUUGCUGCGAAUUGUUGGGAUGCUGCAAUACCAUUGCAUUAAUAUUUGGAUUAUGUCUGUUUUAUGGUUUAUAAAAGACUUAUUUCUUUGAUA
RNA transcript from Hevea brasiliensis (rubber tree), 5846 nucleotides. RefSeq lists it as uncharacterized. The record is from RefSeq and is a predicted model, not a curated record. Lineage: Eukaryota; Viridiplantae; Streptophyta; Magnoliopsida; Malpighiales; Euphorbiaceae. The transcript is spliced from 5 exons.